AGGUUAAGUUAACAAGGGCGCAUGGUGAAUGCCUUGGCACUAGGAGCCGAUGAAGGACGGGACUAACACCGAUAUGCUUCGGGGAGCUGUACGUAAGCUAUGAUCCGGAGAUUUCCGAAUGGGGCAACCCAGCAGUUUUAAUCAACUGUUACCACUAGAUGAAUUCAUAGUCUAGUUGGAGGUAAACGCUGUGAACUGAAACAUCUCAUUAGCAGCAGGAAUAUAAAGAAAUUUCGAUUCCCUAAGUAGCGGCGAGCGAACGGGGAACAGCCCAAACCAAAGUGCUUGCACUUUGGGGUUGUAGGACUGAACAUUUGAGUUACCAAAGAACUUGAUAGUCGAAGGAUUUGGGAAAAUCCGCCAUAGAUGGUGAUAGCCCAGUAGAUUAAAUCAAAUUCUCUCAGUUCAGGAUCCUGAGUACGGCGGAACACGUGAAAUUCCGUCGGAAUCCGGGAGGACCAUCUCCCAAGGCUAAAUACUACCUAGUGACCGAUAGUGAACCAGUACCGUGAGGGAAAGGUGAAAAGCACCCCGGGAGGGGAGUGAAAUAGUUCCUGAAACCAUGUGCCUACAAUAAGUCAGAGCGCGUUAAUGCGUGAUGGCGUGCCUUUUGUAGAAUGAACCGGCGAGUUAUGAUCCCGUGCAAGGUUAAGACUAAAAAGUCGGAGCCGUAGCGAAAGCGAGUCUGAAAUGGGCGUUUUGAGUACGAGGUUAUAGACCCGAAACCAGGUGACCUAUCCAUGUCCAGGUUGAAGGUGCGGUAAAACGCACUGGAGGACCGAACCCGUGUAAGUUGAAAAUUGCUGGGAUGAGGUGUGGAUAGCGGUGAAAUUCCAAACGAACUUGGAGAUAGCUGGUUCUCUCCGAAAUAGCUUUAGGGCUAGCCUCGGAAUUAGGAUCAUGGAGGUAGAGCACUAUUUGGACUAGGGGCCCGUCUUGGGUUACUGAAUUCAGAUAAACUCCGAAUGCCAUUGAUUCAUAUCCGGGAGUCAGACGAUGAGUGAUAAGAUCCACCGUCGAAAGGGGAACAGCCCAGACCAUCAGUUAAGGUCCCUAAAUGUAUGCUAAGUGGAAAAGGAUGUGGAGUUGCAUAGACAACUAGGAUGUUGGCUCAGAAGCAGCCACCAUUUAAAGAGUGCGUAAUAGCUCACUAGUCGAGUGAUUCUGCGCCGAAAAUGUACCGGGGCUAAGCAUACUACCGAAACCAUGGAUGCGACCAUUAGGUCGCGUGAUAGGAGAGCGUUCUAAGGGCGGUGAAGCAAGAUCGUGAGGACUUGUGGAGCGCUUAGAAGUGAGAAUGCCGGUAUGAGUAGCGAAAGAUAGGUGAGAAUCCUAUCCACCGAAUGACUAAGGUUUCCUGGGGAAGGCUCGUCCUCCCAGGGUUAGUCGGGACCUAAGUCGAGGCCGAGAGGCGUAGACGAUGGAUAACAGGUUGAGAUUCCUGUACUAGUUAAGUGCGUUUGAGCAAUGGAGGGACGCAGGAGGCUAAGAUGUGCAUUCUGUUGGAUUAGAAUGUCCAAGCAGUAAGUCUUGUGAAGAGUCAAAUGCUUUUCACUUUAAGGACAAGCUGUGAUGGGGAGCGAAAUUUAGUAGCGAAGCGUCUGAUGUCACACUGCCGAGAAAAGCUUCUAGUGAGUACUUAACUACCCGUACCGCAAACCGACACAGGUAGUCGAGGAGAGAAUCCUAAGGUGAGCGAGUGAACUCUCGUUAAGGAACUCGGCAAAAUGACCCCGUAACUUCGGGAGAAGGGGUGCUGAUCGCAAGAUCAGCCGCAGUGAAUAGGCCCAGGCGACUGUUUAUCAAAAACACAGGUCUCUGCAAAAUCGUAAGAUGACGUAUAGGGGCUGACGCCUGCCCGGUGCUGGAAGGUUAAAAGGAUGGGUUAGCUUCGGCGAAGCUCAGAAUUGAAGCCCCAGUAAACGGCGGCCGUAACUAUAACGGUCCUAAGGUAGCGAAAUUCCUUGUCGGGUAAGUUCCGACCCGCACGAAAGGCGUAACGAUCUGGGCACUGUCUCAACGAGAGACUCGGUGAAAUUAUAUUGUCCGUGAAGAUGCGGACUACCCGCGACAGGACGGAAAGACCCCAUGGAGCUUUACUGUAGCUUGAUAUUGAGUGUUUGUACAGCUUGUACAGGAUAGGUAGGAGCCAUAGAAACCGGAACGCUAGUUUCGGUGGAGGCGUUGGUGGGAUACUACCCUCGCUGUAUGACCACUCUAACCCGCACCACUAAUCGUGGUGGGAGACAGUGUCAGGUGGGCAGUUUGACUGGGGCGGUCGCCUCCUAAAAAGUAACGGAGGCGCCCAAAGGUUCCCUCAGAAUGGUUGGAAAUCAUUCGCAGAGUGUAAAGGCACAAGGGAGCUUGACUGCGAGACAGACAGGUCGAGCAGGGACGAAAGUCGGGCUUAGUGAUCCGGUGGUACCGUAUGGAAGGGCCAUCGCUCAACGGAUAAAAGCUACCCUGGGGAUAACAGGCUUAUCUCCCCCAAGAGUCCACAUCGACGGGGAGGUUUGGCACCUCGAUGUCGGCUCAUCGCAUCCUGGGGCUGUAGUCGGUCCCAAGGGUUGGGCUGUUCGCCCAUUAAAGCGGUACGCGAGCUGGGUUCAGAACGUCGUGAGACAGUUCGGUCCCUAUCCGUCGCGGGCGUAGGAAAUUUGAGAGGACCUGUCCUUAGUACGAGAGGACCGGGAUGGACAUACCUCUGGUGUACCAGUUGUGCCGCCAGGCGCAUCGCUGGGUAGCUACGUAUGGAUGUGAUAAACGCUGAAAGCAUCUAAGUGUGAAACACACCUCGAGAUGAGAUUUCCCAUUCCUUUAUGGAAGUAAGACCCCUGAAAGAUGAUCAGGUAGAUAGGUUAGAAGUGGCAGUGCGGUGACGCAUGAAGCGGACUAAUACUAAUCGGUCGAGGACUUAACCAAG
Molecule: ribosomal RNA, 2923 nt
Filed under: Lactiplantibacillus plantarum
Lineage: Bacteria; Bacillati; Bacillota; Bacilli; Lactobacillales; Lactobacillaceae
Description: Lactobacillus plantarum 23S ribosomal RNA
Rfam family: Bacterial large subunit ribosomal RNA
Source: RNAcentral